UGGGGAAUUUUGGACAAUGGGCGAAAGCCUGAUCCAGCAAUGCCGCGUGUGUGAAGAAGGCCUUCGGGUUGUAAAGCACUUUUGUCCGGAAAGAAAUCCUUGGCUCUAAUACAGUCGGGGGAUGACGGUACCGGAAGAAUAAGCACCGGCUAACUACGUGCCAGCAGCCGCGGUAAUACGUAGGGUGCAAGCGUUAAUCGGAAUUACUGGGCGUAAAGCGUGCGCAGGCGGUUUGCUAAGACCGAUGUGAAAUCCCCGGGGCUCAACCUGGGAACUGCAUUGGUGACUGGGCAGGCUAGAGUAUGGCAGAGGGGGGUAGAAUUCCACGUGUAGCAGUGAAAUGCGUAGAGAUGUGGAGGAAUACCGAUGGCGAAGGCAGCCCCCUGGGCCAAUACUGACGCUCAUGCACGAAAAGCGUGGGGGAGCAAAACAGGAUUAGAUACCCUGGUAGUCCACGCCCUAAACGAUGUCAACUAGUUGUUGGGGAUUCAUUUCCUUAGUAACGUAGCUAACGCGUGAAGUUGACCGCCUGGGGAGUACGGUCGCAAGAUUAAAACUCAAAUGAAUUGACGGGGUCAUA
This 580-nucleotide ribosomal RNA is filed under the name uncultured bacterium. RNAcentral describes it as "partial 16S ribosomal RNA". It matches the Rfam family "Bacterial small subunit ribosomal RNA", at positions 355 to 923 of the family's 1533-position model. The record is from RNAcentral.